Molecule: transfer RNA, 68 nt
Filed under: Mammilla mammata
Lineage: Eukaryota; Metazoa; Mollusca; Gastropoda; Littorinimorpha; Naticidae
Description: tRNA-Ala
Source: RNAcentral
GAUCUAAUACUUUAAGUAAAAAGAUUUGACUUGCAUUCAAAAAAUAGAUUAAUAAAAUCUUUAGAUCA